This 615-nucleotide ribosomal RNA is filed under the name uncultured fungus. RNAcentral's name for it is "eukaryotic LSU rRNA". It matches the Rfam family "Eukaryotic large subunit ribosomal RNA", at positions 38 to 667 of the family's 3401-position model. The record is from RNAcentral. Lineage: Eukaryota; Fungi.
GCAUAUCAAUAAGCGGAGGAAAAGAAACCAACAGGGAUUGCUCUAGUAACGGCGAGUGAAGCAGCAACAGCUCAAAUUUGAAACCUGGCUCUUUUAGAGUCCGAGUUGUAAUUUGCAGAGGGCGCUUUGGCUUUGGCAGCGGUCCAAGUCCCUUGGAACAGGACGUCACAGAGGGUGAGAAUCCCGUACGUGGUCGCUGGCUAUUGCCGUGUAAAGCCCCUUCGACGAGUCGAGUCGUUUGGGAAUGCAGCUCUAAAUGGGAGGUACAUUUCUUCUAAAGCUAAAUAUUGGCCAGAGACCGAUAGCGCACAAGUAGAGUGAUCGAAAGAUGAAAAGCACUUUGGAAAGAGAGUCAAACAGCACGUGAAAUUGUUGAAAGGGAAGCGCUUGCAGCCAGACUCGCUUACAGUUGCUCAUCCGGGUUUCUACCCGGUGCACUCUUCUGUAGGCAGGCCAGCAUCAGUUUGGGCGGUAGGAUAAAGGUCUCUGUCACGUACCUCCUUUCGGGGAGGCCUUAUAGGGGAGACGACAUACUACCAGCCUGGACUGAGGUCCGCGCAUCUGCUAGGAUGCUGGCGUAAUGGCUGUAAAGCGGCCCGUCUUGAAACACGGACC